Oreochromis niloticus (Nile tilapia) is the source of this 490-nucleotide long non-coding RNA. RefSeq lists it as uncharacterized. Lineage: Eukaryota; Metazoa; Chordata; Actinopteri; Cichliformes; Cichlidae. The record is from RefSeq and is a predicted model, not a curated record. The transcript is spliced from 3 exons.
UUGUCUAAUAAACUUACAUCUUUCAUUCUUUAUACAGAUUGGUGGACUGUGGUUUGUCAGAGAUCAGCUGUGAUUAUCUGGCAGCAGCCCUGAAGUCUAGCCCCUGCCAUCUGAGACAGCUGGAGCUGAGAGAAAACAAAGAGCUGCAGGAUUCAGGAGUGAAGCAUCUGUGUGGUUUCCUGGAGAGUCCAGGAUGUGGACUUGAAACUCUGAGAUUGUGGGACUGUGGUUUGUCAGAGAUCAGCUGUGAUUAUCUGGCAGCAGCACUGAAGUCCAACCCCUCCCAUCUGAGAGAGCUGGAGCUGAGCUGGAACAAGCUGCAGGAUCCAGGAGUGAAGCAUCUGUGUGGUUUCCUGGAGAGUCCAGGAUGUGGACUUGAAACUCUGAGAUUGUGGGGCUGUGGUUUGUCAGAGAUCAGCUGUGAUUAUCUGGCAGCAGCACUGAAGUCCAACCCCUCCCAUCUGAGAGUGCUGGAGCUGAGCUGGAACAA